This 271-nucleotide ribosomal RNA is filed under the name uncultured bacterium. RNAcentral describes it as "partial 16S ribosomal RNA". It matches the Rfam family "Bacterial small subunit ribosomal RNA", at positions 85 to 354 of the family's 1533-position model. The record is from RNAcentral.
CCGCCGGCGACCGGCGCACGGGUGAGUAACACGUAUGCAACCUGGCCGCCACAGGGGGAUAACCCGCGGAAACGCGGCCUAAUACCCCGUGACGCCACCGGAGGGCAUCCUCCGGUGGCCAAAGGAGCGAUCCGGUGGCGGAUGGGCAUGCGUCGCAUUAGUUAGUUGGCGGUGUAACGGACCACCAAGACGACGAUGCGUAGGGGUUCUGAGAGGAAGGUCCCCCACACUGGUACUGAGACACGGACCAGACUCCUACGGGAGGCAGCAG